AGAAGUGCUUGAGAUACAUCAUAACAGUGUCAGUGCAGUGUUUAUGGGGGAAAUUGUCGCUGUCUCUCGCUUGUGGAAGGUGACAUAAUGGGAUUUCUUCCCUUUGUCCUGGUGACAGGAUGAUGAGCACUGUCUGGGCUCCAGUUCGGCGGGCUUUGCCAUUCAGGCAUCCGGCGCAGCUGACAAGCCCGAGGAUCGAUGGAGAAGGCAGAACAAACAUGCAUUACUCCAAAUUGCCCCGCACUGCGAUAGAGACAGAGUUCAAGCAGAAUGUUGGCCCACCACCCAAGGAUCUGACCGCUGAAGUUUACUUCCCUUCAAUCAAAUCGAGAUCACAUCUUCCUGCAGUUUUCUAUAAUCAGUAUUUCAAGCAUCCAAAAUGUGUAGGAGAAUAUGGACCCAAGAACGGAGCAGAGAGACAAAUAGAGGAACGGAAAGUUUUGCCUACAACCAUGAUGUUCUCAAUGUUAGCUGACUGUGUUCUAAAAUCCACUCCAAUUCCCAUUUUGGGAGUUGCUAUGUGAUGAAGGUCUGCCCCUGUGGUGUUGGGACAACUUGCUCAUGGAGUUGCAGUUCUUGCCUAACAGGAACCCACCAUGAGCUGCCUCCUGCCCCUGAGGGGAGGAGUCCAUCCUCUUCUAUAGGAUACACCUGUUGGCUUGUUUGUCCUUCCUUCCCCUUUCUGGGAAUUGUUCUCCAUCAACAUGUUUAUGGGGACAGCCAUUUCUAUACAAUGUGACCUGUAUUGAUCUAUUUUGUGUUGCUAUAAAUAAAUACCUGAGGCUGGUAAUUUUUAAAGAAGAGAGGUUAAUUUGGCCCAUAAUUCUGCAGGCUGUACAAGAAGCAUGGCACCAGCAUCUGCUUCUGGUGAGGCCGCAGGAAGCUUCCACUCAUGGUGGAAGGUGGAGGAGGAGCAGGCGUGUUAUAUGGCAAGAGCGAGAGCAAGAGAGAGAGCAGAAGGUGUCAGGCAACCAGCUCUCAUGUGAACUAAUGAGCAAGGACUCACUCAUCACCAAGGGGAUGGCCCCAGCCAUUCCUGAGAGAUCCGCCCCCUAACCCAAACACCUCCCACCAAGCCCCACCUCCAAGACUGGCGGUCAAAUUUUAACAUGAGACCUUCAUUAUCAAUGUUUGUGUAUCUACACAUCCAAAGUAGAUCAUCAUCUUUGGUCUUUGGGAGAUACACCAGAGAAAAACAACUCCUCUGGCCUGGGAGAUUUUGACUUUCUGCUUUUCAUGUGUGUUUGCUUUUAUCGAAGAGGGAAUCUGCUACUUGCCUGAUGCAACUGCAUUUGGAUACUGAACUGGGGCCCAAAGAGUCUCAAAUCACUGCCUGGGAAUGCCAAUUUCUCAUCAUGAAUUAGAAAUCAAUUCUAGCAGCCUCCCUGCUAAGUAAAAAAAUUACAUAAUUCUUUCUGCACUACUGCAUUAGGCUGAUUUUUUUUUUCCUUUUCCUGAAUGUACAGUAAA
This is a long non-coding RNA of Homo sapiens (human), 1470 nucleotides long. Ensembl annotates it as chromosome 5 putative open reading frame 64. Its record names the gene C5orf64. The record is from Ensembl. Lineage: Eukaryota; Metazoa; Chordata; Mammalia; Primates; Hominidae.